This 1266-nucleotide unclassified non-coding RNA is filed under the name Hevea brasiliensis (rubber tree). The record is from RNAcentral. Lineage: Eukaryota; Viridiplantae; Streptophyta; Magnoliopsida; Malpighiales; Euphorbiaceae.
AAGAUAGUUGAUCACCCUUAGCUUGUUAGUUAGACAGACAACUAAUUAAUUGUAAAAUUUAUAGGAUCCUAGGUUCGUUUUUAUUUUUUUUCCUUAUUUAUUUUUUUUCCCUCCAGAUUUUAGAUUUUGAUAGAGGGAUGUUUUUCUAUGGGUUUGCUUUAUUGUUUGUGGUUGGAGUGGAGAGCUUGGAGCCAGAUGCAUUUCUCUAAUUCAGCAUUCUGGAGGAGUGAGGGGGAGAUGUGGUUUACAAACUUUAUAAGUCGAGAAGAGUGAAAUAUUUUCAUGUAUAGAAAGAAUAUUUGUCAAUGUCAUUUUGUGGUUGUUUCAGUUGCGAUCUUUAUCAAAUUCACCAUCUGAAAAUGCUUAAAGCAAGCACAGAAAGUGAAACCACAAAAGAAAUGUUUCAUGUUGAUUUGGCCCACAAAGAAUGUGCAGCUCUAAUGCAUAAAUUUAUGAUCCCAUAAGUGAACAUAUCUCCCAGAAGGGUGUAUCAGGUCAAAUGACAUUAGCAUGUCAGUGUUGCAAAAUGCUAGAAUAUGCAAGAAGCACAAGUCAGAGAUUUGCUUCUCAAUCUUUACUUAUGAUGUGAAUCUACUACUUUUUACUACCAUUGUUGUUUCCUUUCCAAUUCUAACAAAUUAUGAUUAAGUGAAAUGCUUCAGAUAAGGACAGAAUACAAAGAAUGUUCUGCUAAGUGAUCCUCCAGUAAGUCACAAAACAACCAAGCUUAGCAUAAUCAUGCAGUGAUGCAUUAGUUUGAUAGAUGAGAGUAGAUGCAGAUAAGCAAUAUAGGGAUAAUUGCAGGGAUGCUAGUUGAGCAUCCCCAGUGUACAAGUGGUAUGCAUUUAACCAUGCAAAUAAUGCAAGCAUGCACAGCCAGAAGAAGCAUGAGAUAUAUUGAUAGCCAUUUAAAAUGUGAACACCCCUUUUACUGCUGAGAAAAACAAAAAUUCAGUGUAAAAUUUUGCAUUUCAAAUUCCACCAACUGCUUAUAGGUUCCCUGACCCCUAUCACUGACAUUAAGGUCAAGGUUAAUAGAAGGACUCCCCGAUGUCAACAUAUUGUUCACUGAAGGUUACUACAAGCUAAAGAUACAAAAACACCAGAAUCUUAUGAGUUCUAAGUGACUACCAAAUCCUUUCAUCAAGUGAUCAUAUACUUCAAAUGUCUUUCAUUUAAUUGGGCAUAGUCCUAAAGUUUCAACUCGGAUAAAGGAGGAGAGUCGUGGUAGGUGACAAUCAGCGUAAAAAUUUCGUCACACCUCAU